This 1730-nucleotide unclassified non-coding RNA is filed under the name uncultured fungus. RNAcentral describes it as "sequence contains 18S rRNA gene, ITS1, 5.8S rRNA gene, ITS2, 28S rRNA gene". The stretch from base 613 to 1730 matches the Rfam family "Eukaryotic large subunit ribosomal RNA", at positions 1 to 961 of the family's 3401-position model. The record is from RNAcentral. Lineage: Eukaryota; Fungi.
GGAAGGAUCAUUAUCAUAUCAAAAGUGAAUCUCUUCACAAAGAUUCUCUCCUUGAUUCCUUAUUAACACACACCCCCGUCCAAGCUUCCAAUGACGUUUAUAAACUUAUGGAAAGCCUCUUCUUCGAGCAAUUGGAGGAGUGGUACAUCUGCCGUUUUUGUUAACGGGGGAAGCGUACAGUCGCAAGACAUUAGAUUUUUUGUAAGAUUAUUCAAAACAAAACAAAUGAUUCGUCUUAGCGGUGGAUCACUCGGUUCCUACAACGAUGAAGAACGCAGCAAAGCGCGAUAGGAAUUGCGAAUUGCAGAGUUCAGUGAGUCAUCGUAUCUUUGAACGCAUCUUGCGCCUUCAGGCCUCGGCUUGUAGGCAUGCUUUUUUGAGUAUCAAGUCUAACAACCAAUAACAUUCACAUUUUAUGUGUGAUUUUGUUUUCAUUGGAAUCCGUUGUUCUAUCAUUUCUUUUGAGAGAUAGUGCAAUUAGAGAAACAGCAAGUUCUGGUGCUUAGUAUUCAAUCAUGUUGUGAGAGCAAUGUAUAACGGUUGGAGAACUCAUCGGGUUUCUAUCAUAAAACUCGUCUUUUAACAUUUGAAAAGACAAUUUCUUAGACAAAUCGAUCUCAAAUAAAGUAAGAAGACCCGCUGAAUUUAAGCAUAUAAUUAAGCGGAGGAAAAGAAAUCAACAGAGAUUCCCUUAGUAACGGCGAGUGAAGAGGGAAAAGCCCAUCCUGAAUUUCUUUCUAGAUAUACUAGAGAGAAAGAUGUGGGGUGCGGAGACGUCUUCAGUAAUGAUCUUGAUCAAAGUCUUUCUGGGAAGAAGUGACAAAGCGGGUGAAAUCCCCGUUCAUGAUUGAGGAUUCUUUACGUACGAAGCGUUUUCCAAGAGUAGGUUUGUUUGGAAUUGCAAGCUGAAUAAGGGAGAUAAUCUUCUUCCAAGGCUAAAUACUGGUAGGAAACCGAUAGCAAACAAGUACCGUGAGGGAAAGUUGAAAAGGACUCUGAAGAGAGAGUCAACAAGAACGUGAAACCGCUAAGGCUGAAGGGAUGAACACCAGUGCAAUGCCUUGAGUCAUUGGACUUGUGAAUGUGCGUAACAGAUCGUGACUGUGGUGUUUCUGGGUUCUUGAGAAUUCAGAUCGCGCGUUUUGAUUUGUAAAGUGCGAUCCUUGUCUUGUGAUUCGUAGGCGCUUGUCAGGUUCGAUCCUUGUGCCGUAAUGUCUAUUUAGUCAAGGUAGGAACCCUUUUUAAGAGUUCUGCUUAUAGGGCUAUUGUUGGGCAUAUCUGCUGGCAUAAGAAUUGAGGUAUACUACAGUACGCGAGUGGAUUUAGGCCCACUUGUUCAAAGAGAUUUUUCUCUUUCUUCGUACUUGAGACACCUGAUUAAAUGGUGGUCAUUCUCCCGUCUGGAAACACGGACCGGGGAGUUUUACUUGCAUGCGAGUCUAAGAGUGUAGAAACUUGAAGGCGAAAUGAAAGUGAAGAGUACUCUUGUGGUACUUGAAGUGGUAAGCUCUAUUUUUUAGAGUGUCCCCACUGCCCGGCCUCUUAUUUAUGGAGAGGUACGAGGUUGAGCAUGUAGGCAGAGACCCGAAAGAUGGUGAACUAUACUUGAGCAGAAUGAAGCCAGGGGAAACCCUGGUGGAAGUUCGUCGCGGUACUGACGUGCAAAUCGUUCGUCCGACUUGAGUAUAGGGGCGAAAGACUAAUCGAACCAUCUAGUAGCUGGUUCCCUC